RNAcentral lists this ribosomal RNA (231 nucleotides) under uncultured bacterium. RNAcentral's name for it is "partial 16S ribosomal RNA". It matches the Rfam family "Bacterial small subunit ribosomal RNA", at positions 103 to 334 of the family's 1533-position model. The record is from RNAcentral.
CGGGUGAGUAACGCGUGGAUAAUCUGCCCUCUACUGGGGAAUAACUAACCGAAAGGUUAGCUAAUACCGCAUGAGACCACGAUCUCUGAGGAGAACGAGGUUAAAGAUUUAUCGGUAGAGGAUGAGUCUGCGUGGGAUUAGCUAGUUGGUGGGGUAACGGCCUACCAAGGCUACGAUCUCUAACAGGUCUGAGAGGAUGACCCGUCACACUGGAACUGAGACACGGUCCAG